CAAAGAAAGUCUUAGUAGAGAAGGGACUAGGGAUGGAAGUAAGUGAUGUCUGAACAGUUUUCAUUGAAGUUCCUUGAAACCAGAACCAGAGUAUUAACAAUAUUACAAACAACACAACAAAGAAAGUACAGCUAGGAUGCAAAACAGAGCACAGUGAUGCAAACCCAAAUGCAAGUUAAUUUUGAAACCAAAUUAAAAAUUGCUAUAUAAAAUGAGAUGGGUAACUGCAAUCACAACUGAUGGUUUGCUAUUUGCAUGAAAAAUUAGCAGACAUUAAGUUGAAGGAAGUGAGUUUAUAGAGAAGUCCAUUUGCAUCAUAUUAAUCAAAAACUGGUUUUCUUAUUUAGGUAUAGAAAUACAGUAUGCAUAUUUAUAAUUUGAAUUAUAAAAAUAUUACUGUUGUACUUUAGAUUAUAAUUCCAAAGCUCUUUUUAAAAACUGAUUUCAGUUUCAUUAGGUUGUUUGGUGCUUUGGGCCCAAAACAGCAGCCUGAAAACGGUCCCUGUAAGUUGACAAGCCCUUGAGUAGCCAGGAAGUUUCAAGAAAUAGGCCCCUUCACAGAAAGUGUCAGUUUUCCACAAUAUUGUUGUGUCUAUUAAUGUAGUAAAUCCCUCUCCAUAUUUUUAAUAGCCUGGCCAAACCAUACCUGGAGGCAUUAGAUGAUAUGAUCAAUGAGGAGGAAGGGGAGUUAGAAGACGACGAAGAAAAAGAAGAAGAAGGACAACAGAAUCAAGAAGAACAAGAGGAAGGGCAAGAAGAACAAGACAAUGAUGAUGAAAACCUCUACAGAAAGUUAAUAGAGGAUGAGUUUAGUGACAGUGAUGUAGAAUAAUCAGUAUUUAUUUUGCAGAUUUUUUAAAUUUUUAUCACAGACAGACAGACAGUAUUUCUUUCACAGAUGUAUUAAUAAGUAGUAAUUAAGUAAAUAGAGGAUGAGUCUGAAAUUGUUUUGAUUGUUCUACACUUACAACAGCUUAUUCAAAUUAGCCCAAGCUCAAAGGCUGAAGAAAAUAUGUCAUUACUUUUUUUACUAAAUGAACCACAAAUCACUAUGUUGUCUGUGAAUAGUUUUGUUGGAUCUAGAUUUAAGGGACAAAAGAGUGACAGAACUUUUCAUCUUUGUUAUAACAACCCAGUCACAGUCAUGCAUGACUAACUGUGGCCACCUUCCAUGGUUUAAAUAAGCUAAUCAAAAUGCAUGAACUAGGUAUGGUGAAAAUAUCAAGCAUCAUGUAACCUGUUGAUCAGUCGACAACUUCACCUCUCACAUUUCUUUUCAUAAUUUGGGAUUUGCCAGGUUUGAAUGGAAGCCAUAAGAAAGUCGUUGAAAACAUAUCAAAAAAU
This is a long non-coding RNA of Orbicella faveolata, 1344 nucleotides long. NCBI's taxonomy places the organism in Eukaryota, Metazoa, Cnidaria, Anthozoa, Scleractinia, Merulinidae. The record is from RefSeq and is a predicted model, not a curated record.